This 339-nucleotide ribosomal RNA is filed under the name Klebsiella pneumoniae. RNAcentral's name for it is "partial 23S ribosomal RNA". It matches the Rfam family "Bacterial large subunit ribosomal RNA", at positions 912 to 1249 of the family's 2925-position model. The record is from RNAcentral. Lineage: Bacteria; Pseudomonadati; Pseudomonadota; Gammaproteobacteria; Enterobacterales; Enterobacteriaceae.
GUUUCGGCUAGGGGGUCAUCCCGACUUACCAACCCGAUGCAAACUACGAAUACCGAAGAAUGUUAUCACGGGAGACACACGGCGGGUGCUAACGUCCGUCGUGAAGAGGGAAACAACCCAGACCGCCAGCUAAGGUCCCAAAGUCAUGGUUAAGUGGGAAACGAUGUGGGAAGGCACAGACAGCCAGGAUGUUGGCUUAGAAGCAGCCAUCAUUUAAAGAAAGCGUAAUAGCUCACUGGUCGAGUCGGCCUGCGCGGAAGAUGUAACGGGGCUAAACCAUGCACCGAAGCUGCGGCAGCGACACUAUGUGUUGUUGGGUAGGGGAGCGUUCUGUAAGCC